GACGAACGCUGGCGGCGUGCUUAACACAUGCAAGUCGAACGGAAAGACCCUGCGUUUGUGGGGCGCUCGAUUGGCGAACGGGUGAGUAACACGUGAGUAACCUGCCCUUGACUUUGUGAUAACUUCUCGGGACUGGGGCGAAUAUCGCGUAGGAUCUCCUGCUGCAUGGUGGGGGUUGGUGAGUUUCGGCGGUUGGGGAUGGACUCGCGGCUUAUCAGCUUGUUUGGGGGGUAGGUGCUUACCAAGGCUUUGACGGGUAGCCUGCAUGAGAGGGGUAACGGGCACAAUGCGACUGAGAUACGGCGCAGAAUCCUACGGGAGGCAGCAGUCGGGAAUAUUGCACAAUGGGCGGAAGCCUGAUGCAGCAACGCCGCGUGCGGGAUGACGGCCUUCGGGUUGUAAACCGAUUUGGCCUGUGACGAAGCGUGAGUGACGGUAAUGAGUAAAGAAGCACCGGCUAACUACGUG
RNAcentral lists this ribosomal RNA (468 nucleotides) under uncultured bacterium. RNAcentral's name for it is "partial 16S ribosomal RNA". It matches the Rfam family "Bacterial small subunit ribosomal RNA", at positions 28 to 507 of the family's 1533-position model. The record is from RNAcentral.